This 256-nucleotide long non-coding RNA is filed under the name Apteryx rowi (Okarito brown kiwi). RNAcentral's name for it is "lncRNA (ENSARWG00000000556.1)". Lineage: Eukaryota; Metazoa; Chordata; Aves; Apterygiformes; Apterygidae. The record is from RNAcentral.
GCUGCUAGACCCCUUCCCCGGUGCCGUGGCCAGGCGGCCGUGCUGCGCCGCCCGGGAAGUUGGAUAGGCCGGAGAAGUCUGCAAUUCCUCCCAAGUGCGCUGCCAGCUUGUCUUCUCCAGAUAAGCAAAGAAAGGGUGUUUCUGCAUAAUGAGGCUGCUUCAGCCAUUAACAUGCACUGCAGGCCGGCUGGAAGAUCGGGAAGGCUGACUCUGUGAGGCAAAUAAACACGUUUAUCUGCAAAUUCCCUCUACGGAA